This 989-nucleotide ribosomal RNA is filed under the name Arthrobacter pascens. RNAcentral describes it as "bacterial SSU rRNA". It matches the Rfam family "Bacterial small subunit ribosomal RNA", at positions 47 to 1044 of the family's 1533-position model. Lineage: Bacteria; Bacillati; Actinomycetota; Actinomycetes; Micrococcales; Micrococcaceae. The record is from RNAcentral.
CUUAACACAUGCAAGUCGAACGAUGAAGCCCACUUGUGGGUGGAUUAGUGGCGAACGGGUGAGUAACACGUGAGUAACCUGCCCUUGACUCUGGGAUAAGCCUGGGAAACUGGGUCUAAUACCGGAUAUGACUCCUCAUCGCAUGGUGGGGGGUGGAAAGCUUUUUGUGGUUUUGGAUGGACUCGCGGCCUAUCAGCUUGUUGGUGAGGUAAUGGCUUACCAAGGCGACGACGGGUAGCCGGCCUGAGAGGGUGACCGGCCACACUGGGACUGAGACACGGCCCAGACUCCUACGGGAGGCAGCAGUGGGGAAUAUUGCACAAUGGGCGCAAGCCUGAUGCAGCGACGCCGCGUGAGGGAUGACGGCCUUCGGGUUGUAAACCUCUUUCAGUAGGGAAGAAGCCUUUCGGGGUGACGGUACCUGCAGAAGAAGCGCCGGCUAACUACGUGCCAGCAGCCGCGGUAAUACGUAGGGCGCAAGCGUUAUCCGGAAUUAUUGGGCGUAAAGAGCUCGUAGGCGGUUUGUCGCGUCUGCCGUGAAAGUCCGGGGCUCAACUCCGGAUCUGCGGUGGGUACGGGCAGACUAGAGUGAUGUAGGGGAGACUGGAAUUCCUGGUGUAGCGGUGAAAUGCGCAGAUAUCAGGAGGAACACCGAUGGCGAAGGCAGGUCUCUGGGCAUUAACUGACGCUGAGGAGCGAAAGCAUGGGGAGCGAACAGGAUUAGAUACCCUGGUAGUCCAUGCCGUAAACGUUGGGCACUAGGUGUGGGGGACAUUCCACGUUUUCCGCGCCGUAGCUAACGCAUUAAGUGCCCCGCCUGGGGAGUACGGCCGCAAGGCUAAAACUCAAAGGAAUUGACGGGGGCCCGCACAAGCGGCGGAGCAUGCGGAUUAAUUCGAUGCAACGCGAAGAACCUUACCAAGGCUUGACAUGAACCGGACCGCUGCAGAGAUGUGGUUUCCCCUUUGGGGCUGGUUUACAGGUGGUGC